ACUCCUACGGGAGGCAGCAGUAAGGAAUAUUGCGCAAUGGACGAAAGUCUGACGCAGCGACGCCGCGUGGGGGAUGAAGGUCUUCGGAUUGUAAACCCCUUUCGGGAGGGAAGAUGGAGUGGGUAACCACUUGGACGGUACCUCCAGAAGCAGCCACGGCUAACUUCGUGCCAGCAGCCGCGGUAAUACGAAGGUGGCAAGCGUUGUUCGGAUUCACUGGGCGUACAGGGAGCGUAGGCGGUUGGGUAAGCCCUCCGUGAAAUCUCCGGGCCUAACCCGGAAAGUGCAGAGGGGACUGCUCAGCUAGAGGAUGGGAGAGGAGCGCGGAAUUCCCG
RNAcentral lists this ribosomal RNA (335 nucleotides) under uncultured bacterium. RNAcentral's name for it is "bacterial SSU rRNA". It matches the Rfam family "Bacterial small subunit ribosomal RNA", at positions 335 to 672 of the family's 1533-position model. The record is from RNAcentral.